This 548-nucleotide ribosomal RNA is filed under the name Aspergillus versicolor. Its description in RNAcentral is "eukaryotic LSU rRNA". The stretch from base 186 to 339 matches the Rfam family "5.8S ribosomal RNA". The record is from RNAcentral. Lineage: Eukaryota; Fungi; Ascomycota; Eurotiomycetes; Eurotiales; Aspergillaceae.
UCCGUAGGUGAACCUGCGGAGGGAUCAUUACAAGAACGCCCGGGCUUCGGCCUGGUUAUUCAUAACCCUUUGUUGUCCGACUCUGUUGCCUCCGGGGCGACCCUGCCUUCGGGCGGGGGCUCCGGGUGGACACUUCAAACUCUUGCGUAACUUUGCAGUCUGAGUAAACUUAAUUAAUAAAUUAAAACUUUUAACAACGGAUCUCUUGGUUCUGGCAUCGAUGAAGAACGCAGCGAAAUGCGAUAAGUAAUGUGAAUUGCAGAAUUCAGUGAAUCAUCGAAUCUUUGAACGCACAUUGCGCCCCCUGGUAUUCCGGGGGGCAUGCCUGUUCGAGCGUCAUUUCACCACUCAAGCCUCGCUUGGUAUUGGGCAACGCGGUCCGCCGCGUGCCUCAAAUCGUCCGGCUGGGUCUUCUGUCCCCUAAGCGUUGUGGAAACUAUUCGCUAAAGGGUGUUCGGGAGGCUACGCCGUAAAACAACCCCAUUUCUAAGGUUGACCUCGGAUCAGGUAGGGAUACCCGCUGAACUUAAGCAUAUCAAUAAGCGGAG